AGAGUUUGAUCCUGGCUCAGGAUGAACGCUAGCGGCAGGCCUAAUACAUGCAAGUCGGGCGGCAAGUUGAGGAGUAAUCUGAGACCUAGAGCGGCGGACGGGUGCGUAACGCGUAUGCAACCUGCCCCUUACCGGGGGAUAGCCCGGGGAAACCCGGAUUAAUACCCCAUAGGAUAACACUGUGGCAUCACGGAGUUAUUAAAGAUUUAUCGGUAAGGGAUGGGCAUGCGUAGGAUUAGUUAGUUGGCGGGGUAACGGCCCACCAAGACUUUGAUCCUUAGGGGUUCUGAGAGGAAGGUCCCCCACACUGGCACUGAGAUACGGGCCAGACUCCUACGGGAGGCAGCAGUAGGGAAUAUUGGGCAAUGGGCGGGAGCCUGACCCAGCCAUGCCGCGUGCAGGAAGAAGGCGUUAUGCGUUGUAAACUGCUUUUAUACGGGAAGAAAAGGCCCAUGCGUGGGACAUUGCCGGUACCGUAUGAAUAAGCACCGGCUAACUCCGUGCCAGCAGCCGCGGUAA
This 519-nucleotide ribosomal RNA is filed under the name uncultured bacterium. Its description in RNAcentral is "bacterial SSU rRNA". It matches the Rfam family "Bacterial small subunit ribosomal RNA", at positions 8 to 523 of the family's 1533-position model. The record is from RNAcentral.